GCCUGAUGACAUCUUGAUGACGAGUCUUAUUCGGGUUUCCGAUGCAGACAACCUUUUUAUUUUUACCAUUCAUGCUUUACUGAAU
This 85-nucleotide small nucleolar RNA is filed under the name Pestalotiopsis fici W106-1. The record is from RNAcentral. Lineage: Eukaryota; Fungi; Ascomycota; Sordariomycetes; Amphisphaeriales; Sporocadaceae.